CAGAGAUUGCCCCAAAUGAUGAUGUAAUUUGGCUUAAGCAAAAUAAUGAGCCUUGGGAACGAGUUGUCGAAAAGUGGAACAGCAGUUUUGAUAUAAGAAACAAGAAAAAUUCCAAGACUGUGCAUGAGUUUAACGAAACGUGGAUUAUCUUAAAGGAUAACAAAGCAGACACACUGAUACUUUUAGAUUUCGAAAGGCAAUAUAAAAAGAAAUCACUAUUUUUUUUCAAAAAUUGGGAACCAUUCUUCUCAAAACUCUUGGUACUAGAAAUAUUGUCUCCAAUGAUGAUGCAAAAACAUUAAUUGAUAGUCUAGAAGAUAUUGCUCUCAAUGACAAAAAAAAAUACCAGUCCAGAUCUACCUAUUAGGUUUUUUCAAUACCACCUAAAGUGAAACAAAUGACGCUGGGGAUAUCGAUAACGUUAUAAGGAAUCAAAAACAGAAGGCUGCCACGCGAAACGACACCGUGCAACUUUACGUGUUGAUUUAAGGACCGCUGCAGAACUAUUCCCAAAUAUAUAUAAUUAUCGAUGACGUUAAGUAUCACAUGCAGUCGACUGCAAAGGCGUUAGAUUUGCUACUCAAAAAAUUUCACGCCUUCCACGCCAAAUAUCCGCAAGUGGCUGAGCAUCUCCAUUUAAUCAUACAGAAGAAAGUGUACCAAAUACACACAGCGUACGAUUCAGUCCCACCGUCAUAAUAGAUGUUUUAAAUUUAGAUAUUUAGUUAACCUGUAAAAUGCUGUGCCACAAGUGCAAAAUUGACCUGUAUAUUAUAUUGUGUGUUUUUCAAACAAUAUAAUAUUUUACAUCUAGAACUUAUUCAUAAGAUAAAAAACUGUUUCCACUGUCCUGUCGAAACUUGUCAGAGAGUUUAUGGGACAAAAUAUUCUUUAAAAGAUCAUUUGACCUUUUUCCACAAAUUGUUUGACAAGCGCCGACUUAACAGUAAGCAAAUUGAAAAACCAUAUAUUUCGAAUUCUCCAAACUGUAGUACCUACUAUCACCGAAACUGAAACAAGCGAGUCAUUGAAGUUAAGCAGUAGGCCUAAGAUGGUCGGUUCUUUAUCAUUUGUCACCAUGCCUGUCACGUUCUAACAAGUAUGUAAGUGCGAAAGUGACGGGCAUAGUGACAAGUGAUAAAAAAGAACCAUGCUACCACUGCAGAUCCACUAACCCGACU
Molecule: long non-coding RNA, 1181 nt
Organism: Cydia pomonella (codling moth)
Lineage: Eukaryota; Metazoa; Arthropoda; Insecta; Lepidoptera; Tortricidae
Exons: 4
Source: RefSeq, a predicted model, not a curated record